GGCCAUAGUGGGUGAUAGCCCUGUACGCGAAAAUCCCUUUGCAAUGAAAUCGAGUAGGACGGGGCACGAGAAACCUUGUCUGAAUAUGGGGGGACCAUCCUCCAAGGCUAAAUACUACUGACUGACCGAUAGUGAACCAGUACCGUGAGGGAAAGGCGAAAAGAACCGCGGAGAGCGGAGUGAAAUAGAUCCUGAAACCGUAUGCGUACAAGCAGUGGGAGCCCACUUUGUUGGGUGACUGCGUACCUUUUGUAUAAUGGGUCAGCGACUUAUUUUCAGUGGCGAGCUUAACCGAAUAGGGGAGGCGUAGCGAAAGCGAGUCUUAAUAGGGCGUCUAGUCGCUGGGAAUAGACCCGAAACCGGGCGAUCUAUCCAUGGGCAGGUUGAAGGUUGGGUAACACUAACUGGAGGACCGAACCGACUACCGUUGAAAAGUUAGCGGAUGACCUGUGGAUCGGAGUGAAAGGCUAAUCAAGCUCGGAGAUAGCUGGUUCUCCUCGAAAGCUAUUUAGGUAGCGCCUCAUGUAUCACUGUAGGGGGUAGAGCACUGUUUCGGCUAGGGGGUCAUCCCGACUUACCAAACCGAUGCAAACUCCGAAUACCUACAAGUGCCGAGCAUGGGAGACACACGGCGGGUGCUAACGUCCGUCGUGAAAAGGGAAACAACCCAGACCGUCAGCUAAGGUCCCAAAGUCAUGGUUAAGUGGGAAACGAUGUGGGAAGGCUUAGACAGCUAGGAGGUUGGCUUAGAAGCAGCCACCCUUUAAAGAAAGCGUAAUAGCUCACUAGUCGAGUCGGCCUGCGCGGAAGAUGUAACGGGGCUCAAACCAUGCACCGAAGCUACGGGUAUCAUCUUUUGAUGAUGCGGUAGAGGAGCGUUCUGUAAGCCUGUGAAGGUGAGUUGAGAAGCUUGCUGGAGGUAUCAGAAGUGCGAAUGCUGACAUGAGUAACGACAAUGGGUGUGAAAAACACCCACGCCGAAAGACCAAGGUUUCCUGCGCAACGUUAAUCGACGCAGGGUUAGUCGGUCCCUAAGGCGAGGCUGAAAAGCGUAGUCGAUGGAAAACAGGUUAAUAUUCCUGUACUUCUGGUUAUUGCGAUGGAGGGACGGAGAAGGCUAGGCCAGCCUGGCGUUGGU
This 1138-nucleotide ribosomal RNA is filed under the name Pseudomonas syringae. RNAcentral describes it as "partial 23S ribosomal RNA". It matches the Rfam family "Bacterial large subunit ribosomal RNA", at positions 353 to 1502 of the family's 2925-position model. The record is from RNAcentral. Lineage: Bacteria; Pseudomonadati; Pseudomonadota; Gammaproteobacteria; Pseudomonadales; Pseudomonadaceae.